ACGAACGCUGGCGGCGUGCCUAACACAUGCAAGUCGAACGAGAAAUCUUGACCGGAGCCUUCGGGUGAAGGGAGAGAUGGACAGUGGCGGACGGGCGAGUAACGCGUGAGUAACCUGCCCAUAAGUGAGGGAUAGCCCUUGGAAACGAGGAGUAAUACCUUAUAUAGUAUAUUAAUCGCAUGAUAGAUAUAUGAAAGAUUUAUUGCUUAUGGAUGGACUCGCGUCUGAUUAGAUAGUUGGCGGGGUAACGGCCCACCAAGUCGACGAUCAGUAGCCGAACUGAGAGGUUGAUCGGCCGCAUUGGGACUGAGACACGGCCCAGACUCCUACGGGAGGCAGCAGUGGGGAAUAUUGCGCAAUGGGGGAAACCCUGACGCAGCAACGCCGCGUGCAGGAAGAAGGUCUUCGGAUUGUAAACUGUUGUCGCAGGGGAAGAAAAAGAUGACGGUACCCUGUGAGAAAGUCACGGCUAACUACGUGCCAGCAGCCGCGGUAAUACGUAGGUGACAAGCGUUGUCCGGAUUUACUGGGUGUAAAGGGCGCGUAGGCGGGAUAGCAAGUCAGGAGUGAAAUGCCGAUGCUCAACAUCGGAACUGCUUUUGAAACUGUUAUUCUUGAGUAUCGGAGAGGAAAGCGGAAUUCCCAGUGUAGCGGUGAAAUGCGUAGAUAUUGGGAGGAACACCAGUGGCGAAGGCGGCUUUCUGGACGACAACUGACGCUGAGGCGCGAAAGUGUGGGGAGCAAACAGGAUUA
Molecule: ribosomal RNA, 753 nt
Filed under: uncultured bacterium
Lineage: Bacteria
Description: bacterial SSU rRNA
Rfam family: Bacterial small subunit ribosomal RNA
Source: RNAcentral